CCCACGCGCCCCUCAUCCUCCUCCAGCUCGGCACCGCGACUCUCACCCCGCGCGCCACCACCGCUCUCCCGCGCUCGCGCUGGCCCGCACUCUGCUGCCCUGCCCGCCGCCGAGCCGCGCGCCCCUCCUCCGCCAGCUCUCCGCGGUGGUACCGGAGGCCGUCUUCGCGGCCACGGCGGAGCACGCCACGGCCUCCACCGCCCCGCCGGAGACCCGGUGCGGGGGCCUACCCGCUCUGGGCCUCCCACCUCAACCCCUGAGCGCCCAUCUUCGCCCGCUUCUGGGAGCACGUCGGCGGCGCCUGGUGGCCGCCAUCCGCCUAGGUACGCUCGACCUGCCUCCUCCUGCUCGCCAAUGAUCCUCGUCCUCCCGCUAAACAUCUCAGCAGCGAACCCCUGAAGCCCCUUCCCUGCCUCAUCUAAUGGAUGAUGCCCAGCCGCCCACCAACCACUCGAGGAAAUGCCUACUGAAGUAGCAAAACUGCUCACUUCAGCUUCCUGUUAAAUAAGCAUCCCUGAUCCCAUGCAGUUUGGUAACCACCACCGUUAGCACAGACUGCAGAAACAUUAGUGCACUAUCUUUGAUGGACAUUGGAGUCUCCCUGCUGAUAUUAAGUUCUUGCAACAGCUAUGGCUAAACAGUUUGCAACACCUUUGUCAGGGAUGGUAAUCUCUGUGAACUUUGCAAUGCUCAUCCCAUCUCUGAACAAGUCAUCUGUUGGCCUGCUUGGAAUACUUCACGGAGAACAACUCCAACGUCAAAGAUAUUCACGAGAUUCAAUUCGCAUGUUUACCUUAUUGCUAGAUGCACGAGUUAAUACUUGUAACAAAAAUCAUAAAUACCUAUUACCUCCAAUAAGGUCACACCAUUUAAUCUGAGCUUCUUCUUUUCAUCAAAAAAAAAAAACCCUGAGCUUCUGGAAGCUUCUGGAACAAAACCAAACGGAUGUCUCAUAUUGAGUUGUAGCUAAAUAGCAAUUGAGAAGCUAAUUUAGCAGCUAUAUACACUGACAUCCAAAUGAAUCUGAUGCCAUUUAGCAACUGCGAUAGAUAAAGCUGACAUCCAGCAAUUAAACUGUUAAUCCGUAUCUUCAAAUAUUUCAAGUUUUGAUAUUCAUGUAUCAGGAAUUAUAACCAUGAAUCAAAUUUAGUUCUUCAAUUUAUUUGUAACUGAGAUGUUUCUUGGAUAAGCAGAUACAUCUAUGUUGAUUUCCAUAAUGUACUCUUAUAGAUAUGUCCAUAUUUCUCCCUUUAUGUGUUUCUGAAGCUUUAGCUAAUCAGUUUCUAUCCUUUUAUUCUUUAAAACUGCCAGGCUCCUGUUAUUAAGUAAUAUUUUACUUUGAUGGAGCCUAAAAACUUCAAGUCUCUACCAAUUCUUUAUUUAUAUUCGGACACCAUCAGGAAGUAAUUUACCUGAUUUAUCUAUUAAGCUCAUAUGGAUGAUAGAGAACGGUUGGCUGUGUGAAGAAUAAUGCAGAAAAAGAAUAACCUAGCUCUCAAAUUAUGGUGUCUCUUACUCUACGGAUACUACUAAAGGUUCUCAAAAAAAAUAUUAAAUCCACAUGUGAAAGUAUGUGAAAAUCGCUGGACCGCGUUUCUUUAAAUCCACAUCUUCAUUAAAGUUUUAGAUUCCUCGCACUCGACAUAUGUGACAAAUAAACUACAACUUCGACAGUUUAUAUAUGUUGACAAGGUUCAGUCAAGUAUUGAUGUUCCAGAUAAUCAUAAUCCAAUAGCUGACAAGCUCAUCAACACUGCAAGGAGACCACAACUUCUGUGCUUGACUCAGCAGAGUAAUGAGUACUGUGUGCUACACCACUUCUUUUCAUUGUGUGGCGAAGUUUUGUAUAACAGUACUAAACUAGCAAAUUCAGUUUCUCAUUUACUUGCCUAUUAGGGAGUGAAUUAAUGGAACCGAGUAUUAUUGAGGCUUGGUUCAGCUCGAAAUAUUAGUAUUAAUAGUAGGAUUUUAACCGUGGGAAGUAGGACGAUUACAAUAAUUGAUCAUCAGACAUAGAGUGUCUUAUCUUUUAUUUCAUUUCUUGUAUUUUGCUGGCUGCAAGCAGAAACCUUGGCGUAGUGAAAAUGGUAGUAAAAAACCUGAACAGUAUAAAGCAGUUGAUACUCAGGUUUGUUUAAUCCUUCAUAUAUUAAUUCUUAUGCAGCAUUUCAUGUUUGUAUGUACUAAUAUGAUAAUUCAAGUGUUCAGUAAAGAAUAGCAGGAACAUAAUUGCAUCAUGCCUUAUCUUCUGCAAAGCUUUGGUAUGUCAGGCUAUUCGAGUUCAUUUGAGCAUUGGAAACUAACCUCGAGCUGAGUUUCAUCAUAUUGGAAUUCAGUUGAGCAUUGUCAUUUGUUUUGUCAGACUAUUCGAAUUGCAAUCCUGCUCAUAGUAUCUUUGUUGCAUUUAGUCAAUUGGAAUAUCAUAGUAAAAGAACAUACAGUUAGAUUUAGCACUUACGUAGUUCAGUGUCAUAGUUUCCAUAAUAGUUGAAAACUAUCGUCAUGUGACCUUAUUUCUCUGCAUAAUCCUCCAAACAAUGAUUUCAAGAUGGCAAUGCCACAUAGAAAAAGCCAUAAGGUUUCACAAGGAUAACGAAAUUACAUUGAAAGAAUCAAUCAAAAUGUUAGCACGAACCCUGUCGUGUGUUGCAAGAAUCGAUCAGGUAUGGUCAUUCUAUAGAGCCUCAAUGUUGCCCUUCUUAUUUUUGCAUAUCCAUCUACAUCUAAUAUUUGCUAUAUGUUAUUUUAAGUGUGGAGAAUAUUUGUGAGAACUUAAAGCAAGAACAACAUCGAGAAAAAGAUAUCCCAAAAUGUAUGAAUUCCAAAUAAAGUACUCAAAUUGGAUGGUCAUUGGGUGCAUUGCCUGGUGAUUUCGUGUGAUUGCCUCCAUUGGUGAUGGAAGCUUCCAGGAACAUGGGUCUUUAUUCAGCAAGCAAAUAACAGAGGAUCAAAUUUUGUGGAGCUUAAAUAUGUUGAGAAAUAAAUUUAACUAGGAUUCUCUUUUAGGAUUUUCCUUGAGUGGACAAAGUUAAGGACUUGUGGUUUUUCUAAAUAUAGAAACACGCAUCAUAUAUAAUGUGUCGGACAGAGCAGAUAUGUACCUAGGUGCCUCUUCCAUGUUUGGCCUUUAAGCAACGUCUUUUGGAUUCCAUAAUAUGCUCCUUUUCAGUAGCUUAUGUAAUUUAUUAUAUGUCAUCAUGAUUUAUUGUAUUAA
This is a long non-coding RNA of Panicum virgatum (switchgrass), 3214 nucleotides long. RefSeq lists it as uncharacterized. The record is from RefSeq and is a predicted model, not a curated record. The transcript has 3 exons. Lineage: Eukaryota; Viridiplantae; Streptophyta; Magnoliopsida; Poales; Poaceae.